Molecule: RNase MRP RNA, 286 nt
Filed under: Sphaeroforma arctica JP610
Lineage: Eukaryota; Ichthyosporea; Ichthyophonida
Description: RNase MRP
Rfam family: RNase MRP
About the family: RNase MRP is an enzymatically active ribonucleoprotein with two distinct roles in eukaryotes. In mitochondria it plays a direct role in the initiation of mitochondrial DNA replication.
Source: Rfam by way of RNAcentral
GGAGUACGAGCAGGGCCGCUGUCCGAGCGAAUAAAUUGAAUCCAUGCUCGGGGAAAAGUCCCCGGACGAUAGCUAGAGAGUAGCGGGCCUUGAUGGUCCUUUCAUCACCGCCACGUGUGUGCUUAUGCCUGCCAGUGAUGCUCAUACUACGGGCUAGGUACCCUUACAGGGCACGUCGGUUGUUUGUGGUGUCUUCGUCGAAGCAAAGUUAUGCGGCCGUUGCCAAUGUAACUGUUUUCAGUUUCAAUUUUGCAAUAUCUUAACGGGGCUCACUCGCUCUGUACUC